RNAcentral lists this ribosomal RNA (407 nucleotides) under uncultured bacterium. Its description in RNAcentral is "partial 16S ribosomal RNA". It matches the Rfam family "Bacterial small subunit ribosomal RNA", at positions 30 to 526 of the family's 1533-position model. The record is from RNAcentral.
AUUGAACGCUGGCGGCAGGCCUAACACAUGCAAGUCGAGCGGAGCGGCGGACGGGUGAGUAAUGCCUAGGAAUCUGCCUGGUAGUGGGGGAUAACGUCCGGAAACGGUAGCUAAUACCGCAUACCAUCAGAUGUGCCUAGAUGGGAUUAGCUAGUAGGUGGGGUAAAGGCUUACCUAGGCGACGAUCCCUAACUGGUCUGAGAGGAUGACCAGCCACACUGGAACUGAGACACGGUCCAGACUCCUACGGGAGGCAGCAGUGGGGAAUAUUGGACAAUGGGCGCAAGCCUGAUGCAGCCAUGCCGCGUGUGUGAAGAAGGUCUUCGGGUUGUAAAGUACUUUAAGUGGGGAGGCGUUACCCGCAGAAGAAGCACCGGCUAACUCCGUGCCAGCCGCCGCGGUAAUAC